RNAcentral lists this ribosomal RNA (496 nucleotides) under uncultured bacterium. RNAcentral's name for it is "partial 16S ribosomal RNA". It matches the Rfam family "Bacterial small subunit ribosomal RNA", at positions 28 to 506 of the family's 1533-position model. The record is from RNAcentral.
GAUGAACGCUGGCGGCGUGCCUAAUACAUGCAAGUCGAGCGAACGGACGAGAAGCUUGCUUCUCUGAUGUUAGCGGCGGACGGGUGAGUAACACGUGGAUAACCUACCUAUAAGACUGGGAUAACUUCGGGAAACCGGAGCUAAUACCGGAUGAUAUUUUGAACCGCAUGGUUCAAAAGUGAAAGACGGUCUUGCUGUCACUUAUAGAUGGAUCCGCGCUGCAUUAGCUAGUUGGUAAGGUAACGGCUUACCAAGGCAACGAUGCAUAGCCGACCUGAGAGGGUGAUCGGCCACACAGGAACUGAGACACGGCCCAGACCCCUACGGGAGGCAGCAGUAGGGAAUCUCCCGCAAUGGGCGAAGGCCUGACGGAGCAACGCCGCGGGAGUGAUGAAGGUCUUCGGAUCGUAAAACUCUGUUAUUAGGGAAGAACAUAUGUGUAAGUAACUGUGCACAUCUUGACGGUACCUAAUCAGAAAGCCACGGCUAACUACGU